Molecule: long non-coding RNA, 923 nt
Filed under: Struthio camelus australis
Lineage: Eukaryota; Metazoa; Chordata; Aves; Struthioniformes; Struthionidae
Description: lncRNA (ENSSCUG00000009030.1)
Source: RNAcentral
CUAGAUUUCUAGGGGUUUCUUUUACGGAGCACUUAACAGAACUGCAUAGGAAACUGCAUGGCUGAAGCAGAUGUUCUACUUCACUCACACAAAAGCAGCAGAUCCAACUCAGCAGAUCCUGCAUUUUCAUCAGAGGAGAGGAGUCCAGGAAACCCUACCCCUCACCGAAUAGCAGGGCUUCCUGUGUAAUUGGCUACGUACACCAGCUGUAACUGGGAGAUGCUAGAGAACAACUCUGCUUUGUGAUAAUGAAGAGAUUUUUCAUUUGUAUUGGUUCAAAGGCUGGAUGGAGAAGGCUGAAAUACUCAGUGGGGGGUCAGAGUGCAGAUCUGGAUCUCUGGAACUGGAGCCUUACAACUUCACUCUGUCAAGGAACAGGGGAAAAAGAUGGUUAGAGCUACAGAGCAGAUCACUGGCUGAGCUGAUGAUCACACAGAGGUAUCAUUCUGAUAAGUCUUUCACCACCUGCUGAUUGUCUUCCUUCUGCUGGGUGUUCACAGUGAGGGUCCCUGGGAAGACUCCUACAAAUCCAUCCUUGAGAAUGGCAAUUAGGGAAACCAGCCAUUUCCCAGUUCUCCGGAAGCAAACUGUUCUGCCACAUUCUCUUAAAGUACAUUCUCCUCCCAAGGCAAGCACUGAGCUCCCAUCAAGACUAAUGCACCCACAGAGAGAGAGGAGUAAAAAGAAAAAAUCUGAAUUUCAAAAAAAAUAUAUAUUACACAAUCCUGCUUAUGCAGGUGAACAUUAGUGAUCAUUUUGGUCGCCGAUAUCACAAACCGUUAUGGUGAUUUCUCUCACAUCAUGCAAAUGGCUGCAUAAUGUCUACUCCUCUUGGAAUGUAAAAUCAAAUCAGCAUUCUAAUGCUACAAGCCCAUGAUGAGCUUGGAAAUAAAUAUGCAGAAGCACAUAAAAAAAAAAAAAAU